GACGAACGCUGGCGGCGUGCUUAACACAUGCAAGUCGAACGCUGAAGCCCAGCUUUUGUUGGGUGGAUGAGUUGCGAACGGGUGAGUAACACGUGAGUAACCUGCCUCCUCCUUUGGGAUAACGCCCGGAAACGGGUUCUAAUCCUGGAUAUUCACUGGUCUUCGCAUGGGGGUUGGUGGAGAGGGAUUUUCUGGUGGGGGAUGGGCUCGGGGCCUAUCAGCUUGUUGGUGGGGUGAUGGCCUACCAAGGCUUUAACGGGUAGCAGGCCUGAGAGGGUGACCGGUCACAUUGGGACUGCGGUACGGCCCAGACUGCGACGGGAGGCAGAAGUGGGGAGGAGGGCGCAAUGGGCGCUAGCCUGAUGCAGCGACGCCGCGUGAGGGAUGGAGGCGUUCGGGCUGUGAACCUCUUUCGCUUAUGGUCAAGCCGCAACAAUGAUUGUGGUGAGGGUAGUGGGUAAAGAAGCGCCGGCUAACUACGUG
This 483-nucleotide ribosomal RNA is filed under the name uncultured bacterium. Its description in RNAcentral is "partial 16S ribosomal RNA". It matches the Rfam family "Bacterial small subunit ribosomal RNA", at positions 28 to 507 of the family's 1533-position model. The record is from RNAcentral.